Molecule: long non-coding RNA, 2715 nt
Organism: Macadamia integrifolia
Lineage: Eukaryota; Viridiplantae; Streptophyta; Magnoliopsida; Proteales; Proteaceae
Exons: 6
Source: RefSeq, a predicted model, not a curated record
UUAGUUCUGAGUAAGAUAUUGCAUCCAUCUCAGUGUUAGUCUCCUUGCUGGAUCGGAGUAAGGUAUUGUAUAUAUACUAUAUACUAUUAUAUAAAAGUAUGAAGUGCUGGUACCCUUUAUAUUUUUAUAAUUUUUAUAAUACUCAAAUACUCUCUAAUUGGAAUUCUUUUACUACUCUAAUAUCUCCAUGUCACGUCCCUUCUCUAUCUUUCUCACUUUCCAUUUUUUGUGAAACUCUUGUCCUAGGUACGUAACAAAUAUCAGAUCUGAAAAUUCCAAGAUCGAAACGUCUCUUUAUCUGAAAUUCUAAGCAGCGAAAUCAAACUUUUGAUUAUCUAUUCGACCUCAUCAACUAAACUGUGAUGAAGCCUUCUCGAUCUCCGUUGCAUUAGAUCCGUUGGAAGGAAAAAAUCUUUGAGGAAGACUUGGAUUCUGCUGAUCGUCAAGGACUUCAACGGUGUCUCCACUGCAUCGUAAGUUUUUGUUUAGUAUUUAUCUUCCAAUUUGAAUAUGAAAAAAAGUUAAAAUUUUAAUGAACAAGUGGCUACGAUUCUUACCGGAUUUGACGCAACAAAUGCUGGAAUCUGGGGAUCUUAUUAGUUGGGAUUCUAUCUAAAACACCUAGCAGAGUUUCUUAAAUUAGUGUUUCAAUCUUUACUUUUAUUGGAUUUGAUGUAACAAAUGCUGGAAAGAUGGCUGAACUUAGAAAGGAGGUGGAAGAAUAUGAUGAUCUCUUGAUGCUAGACAUUGAGGAGUACAGCAGACUUCCAUAUAAAACGUUAGUGUUGCGAAUAGUUUGAAUUGAGUUCUUUAUUUGUCCUUUUUUCUCAUCACUUUUUUAUGAAAUUUCUCUUAAUACUGGAAAACCUUUUCAUCUCUUUUCAUAAAGGUAGCUCCAAUCCUGUUACUGAUCAAAAUUCAGCUUCCACGACCUCAAAUACAACUCCACUCCUAAUCUACUCGUGCGGUGUUAGACAUUUCUAUUAUCCCAUUCUACAAUGUCUAAAUCCUCCUUCCCAUUAUCAUCCAACCUCCCCUCCCCAAUUCUUUCACUUCCUCCUUCAUGAAACCUCUUUCUCCCUCCUAAUCCCAUGCUCAUGCUCUCUCUCUCUCUCUCUCUCUCUCAUAUAUUUCUAAAACUCUUUCUUUAAUCUGUCUCUUCUUUCCUCUCAUCUCUAUUAUUCUACAACCAAUAUUGGUGGUGGUUUUUCUGAAAUUGCAGUUUUCCAAGUACUUUUUUUCUUUAUUCCUGGUUGCUUCACUGGUCUUAGCUGGAUAAUAUUUUCUUCAUUUUUUAGGCCGACUCCAUUUAGUGGAGAAAAGGCUGAGUUGUAAUUUUUUUUCUCCAUUUUUUGUUUUUUUUUAAAUUACUAAUCCAAAGAGCUUAUUACAGAUUCAGUUCUCUAUUUGUGCUUUAAAGUUUCUUAUUUUCUUCAUAUACAAGUGAGUUUUUGGAGUUGUCCCGGUUCACAGUGAAAAACACAUCAGUGAUCUGCCGGAGUAGAUUUUUGUACCCAUUUCCAUAUCCCCAUUUAGUUGGGAUAAGGUUAUACAUGUUGUUGCUAUUGUUGUUCUAUAUGCUCAUUUACAAAAUCUCGAGGAAAAAAGUUGUAUGAGAAAGUACUUUAUCUUCCACUUUCAUUCAUUUUCAAUGCAAUCUCAGUUUAAAGCUGCAAAUUAUUUUCCUCAACUCAUAUUAUCGAAUGGUAUUUUUAUGACUGGUAAGAAGGUAAAGAAGACAAAUGCCCCAGUUACAGAAUUUAUUUAUUAGGGAAUUCUAAACUACUGGAUGUUGAAGAUUGCCUAUAUGAGGAGGGUGAGGAUGAACCAAGGGUGUUUAUAUUACUAAGCUUGAGGAACUCAAGAAGUUUUACUAGUAGGAGUGAUUAGAGAUGGAGAACUCGGAGAGAAUACUAGCAGUUGAACAACUUAACUGUUGCAUCAACAGUUCAAGAGAGGCAGCAUUGUGAAGAACCUUUGGAAUAACUUAAUUUCUCUGUUUGUUAGGAUCUAAUUGAUUUGGCCUUGGAAAGAACCCUUGGAACUAAUUUCUCUGUUUAUUAGAAUGUAAUGGAUUUGGCUUCAUAAUUGUAGAUGACUUAUGCUGGUGUUUAUACUUGAUAUCUGGUUGGUGGUAUAUGAGUGUGUGGAACGAAGCACGGUUGAGAGAGAAAGAAGGUAGCAACAAGUAAGCCUGCCAAAAUAUUCAUUUCCAAUUCUGUUGCCAACUGAUGUGAGAAGGAAAGCAAAAGCAGUUGAUAGGUGAUGUGUCAAGAGCAUUCCCUCUCCAAUUUGGAAGCUUCAGUCAUGGUUUUGCAUAUGGAUGCAGAACCACAUAAGAGAAUGGGAACGAAUAUGAAAAUAUUGAAGGAUCAUUUGAUGAGAGAUGAAAGGAGUAUGUUAAAUGGGCUGCAAGCAUGGCUUUAGAGCUUAGUGUUGUUGUUACUUGGGUUAUGUGCAGACAACCUGAUGCACCAGAAAACAUUGCCAAAUUCUUAUAAGGAUUCAGCACUUGGGAUGUGGGUAAGAUCCUAGCCUAGCAUAUUAUAAUUACAUGCGGUUAACUUUGUCUGUUUCAUAUAAAUUUCUUCAAGAUGCAUUCUAAAACCGAGGCAUAACUCAUUAGCUCAGUCCAUUUUUUGGUGAUGAUUGGAAUGUUGUAUCGAUUGGAAAAGAUCAGAAUUAAAAAAAUUAUUGAUAGUGGUUUGCAGUUCC